UGGGGAAUAUUGCACAAUGGGGGAAACCCUGAUGCAGCGACGCCGCGUGAACGAAGAAGGUAUUCGUAUCGUAAAGUUCUGUCCUAUGGGAAGAUAAUGACAGUACCAUAGAAGAAAGCUCCGGCUAAAUACGUGCCAGCAGCCGCGGUAAUACGUAUGGAGCGAGCGUUGUCCGGAAUUAUUGGGCGUAAAGGGUACGCAGGCGGUUUAAUAAGUCGAAUGUUAAAGAUCGGGGCUCAACCCCGUAAAGCAUUGGAAACUGAUAAACUUGAGUAGUGGAGAGGAAAGUGGAAUUCCUAGUGUAGUGGUGAAAUACGUAGACAUUAGGAGGAAUACCAGUAGCGAAGGCGACUUUCUGGACACAAACUGACGCUGAGGUACGAAAGCGUGGGGAGCAAACAGG
This 403-nucleotide ribosomal RNA is filed under the name bacterium. Its description in RNAcentral is "partial 16S ribosomal RNA". It matches the Rfam family "Bacterial small subunit ribosomal RNA", at positions 355 to 776 of the family's 1533-position model. The record is from RNAcentral.